AUCGAGUGUUUGCCCCAGUGUGCCUUGAGGGUGCCUGCCGAGAGGCCCUGCUGUGGCUGAUCCCCUCUUGCCUCUCAGCUGCACACUCUGUCCUGGGAACACACCCUUUCUCCAGGCUGGACAUACUUAUUGUCCCCACCAACUUCCCAAGUCUGGGAAUGGCCAGCCCACACAUCAUCUUCCUCUCUCAGAGCACCUUGACAGGCACAAGCCAUCUCUGCGGGACCCGUCUUUGCCAUGAAAUUGCUCAUGCCUGGUUUGGCCUAGCCAUAGGGGCCCGAGACUGGACAGAGGAGUGGCUCAGCGAAGGAUUUGCCACUCACUUGGAAGAUAUAUUUUGGGCUGAAGCACAGCAGCUGCCCCCACAUGAGGCCCUGGAGCAGCAAGAGCUGAGGGCUUGCCUGCGCUGGCACCGCCUGCA
This 421-nucleotide long non-coding RNA is filed under the name Rattus norvegicus (Norway rat). RNAcentral's name for it is "long non-coding RNA NONRATT012176". Lineage: Eukaryota; Metazoa; Chordata; Mammalia; Rodentia; Muridae. The record is from RNAcentral.